Molecule: ribosomal RNA, 253 nt
Filed under: uncultured bacterium
Lineage: Bacteria
Description: partial 16S ribosomal RNA
Rfam family: Bacterial small subunit ribosomal RNA
Source: RNAcentral
UACGGAGGAUGCAAGUGUUAUCCGGAAUCACUGGGCGUAAAGCGUCUGUAGGUGGUCAAACAAGUCAACUGUUAAAGCUUGAAGCUCAACUUCAAAAUCGCAGUCGAAACUACUCGACUCGAGUAUAGUAGGGGUAAAGGGAAUUUCCAGUGGAGCGGUGAAAUGCGUAGAGAUUGGAAAGAACACCAAUGGCGAAGGCACUUUACUGGGCUAUUACUGACACUGAGAGACGAAAGCUAGGGGAGCAAAUGGG